UAUUAAAAAUUUUAUUCAUUUCUAUCGUUAAAAACUGGUGUGGCUUACCUCAUUUUGAUAUAUAUGGAUCAAUUUUUAACGUAGAAAUGGAUGAAAGUUUUAACA
This 105-nucleotide microRNA precursor is filed under the name Gossypium hirsutum (cotton). RNAcentral describes it as "MIR7502 microRNA precursor family". It matches the Rfam family "MIR7502 microRNA precursor family". RNAcentral also lists the same sequence under 1 other name. The record is from Rfam by way of RNAcentral. Lineage: Eukaryota; Viridiplantae; Streptophyta; Magnoliopsida; Malvales; Malvaceae.